GCCUGGGUGGCUCAGUCGGUUAAGCAUCUGACUUCGGCUCAGGUCAUGAUCUCACAGUUCGUGAGUUUGAGCCCCGCAUCAGGCU
This 85-nucleotide transfer RNA is filed under the name Felis catus (domestic cat). It matches the Rfam family "tRNA". Rfam says of the family: Transfer RNA (tRNA) molecules are approximately 80 nucleotides in length. Their secondary structure includes four short double-helical elements and three loops (D, anti-codon, and T loops). Further hydrogen bonds mediate the characteristic L-shaped molecular structure. tRNAs have two regions of fundamental functional importance: the anti-codon, which is responsible for specific mRNA codon recognition, and the 3' end, to which the tRNAs corresponding amino acid is attached (by aminoacyl-tRNA synthetases). tRNAs cope with the degeneracy of the genetic code in two manners: having more than one tRNA (with a specific anti-codon) for a particular amino acid; and 'wobble' base-pairing, i.e. permitting non-standard base-pairing at the 3rd anti-codon position. Lineage: Eukaryota; Metazoa; Chordata; Mammalia; Carnivora; Felidae. The record is from Rfam by way of RNAcentral.